This 1089-nucleotide long non-coding RNA is filed under the name Nicotiana tabacum (common tobacco). RNAcentral's name for it is "long non-coding RNA (NTAB_LNC019342)". Lineage: Eukaryota; Viridiplantae; Streptophyta; Magnoliopsida; Solanales; Solanaceae. The record is from RNAcentral.
AAACUAAACUUUUUCUUUCAGUCAGUAUUAGGGUUUUAAACCCUAAACUGAACUUUUCCUUUUAGUCAGCAUUAGGGUUUUAAACCCUAAACUAAACUUUUUCUUUCAGGCUGCAUUAGAGUUUUAAACCCUAAACUGAACUUUUUCUUUCAGUCAGCAUUAGGGUUUUAAACCCUAAACUGAACUUUUUCCUUUCAGCCAGCAUUAGGGUUUUAAACCCUAAACUGAGCUUUUCCAUGCAAUCAGCAUUAGGGUUUUAAACCCUAAACUGAAUUUUCCUUUUUAGUCAGCAUUAGGGUUUUAAACCCUAAACUGAACUUUUUCCAUUCAGCCAGCAUUAGGGUUUUAAACCCUAAACUGAGCUUUUCCAUACAAUCAGCAUUAGGGUUUUAAACCCUAAACUGAACUUUUUCCUUUCAGCCAGCAUUAAGGUUUUAAACCCUAAACUGAGCUUUUCCAUGCAAUCAGCAUUAGGGUUUUAAACCCUAAACUGAACUUUUCCUUCCAGUCAGCAUUAGGGUUUUAAACCCUAAACUGAGCUUUUCCAUGUAAUCAGCAUUAGGGUUUUAAACCCUAAACUGAAUUUUCCUUUUAGUCAGCAUUAGGGUUUUAAACCCUAAACUGAAUUUUUCCUUUAGUCAGCAUUAGGGUUUUAAACCCUAAACUGAACUUUUUCCUUUCAGCCAGCAUUAGGGUUUUAAACCCUAAACUGAGCUUUUCCAUGCAAUCAGCAUUAGGGUUUUAAACCCUAAACUGAAUUUUCCUUUUAGUCAGCAUUAGGGUUUUAAACCCUAAACUGAGCUUUUCCAUGUAAUCAGUAUUAGGGUUUUAAACCCUAAACUGAAUUUACCUUUUAGUCAGCAUUAGGGUUUUAAACCCUAAAUUGAGCUUUUCCAUGUAAUCAGCAUUAGGGUUUUAAACCCUAAACUGAACUUUUUCUUUCAGUCAGCAUUAGGGUUUUAAAACCUAAACUGAACUUUUCCUUUUAGUCAGCAUUAGGGUUUUAAACCCUAAACUGAACUUUUUCCUUUCAGCCAGCAUUAGGAUUUUAAACCCUAAACUUAGCUUUUCCAUGCAAUCAGCAUUAGG